UCGGCCCUACGGGCGCAGCAGUGUGGGAUAUUGCACAAUGGGGGGAACCCUGAUGCAGCGACGCCGCGUGAGCGAAGAAGUACCUCGGUAUGUAAAGCUCUAUCAGCAGGGAAGAAAAUGACGGUACCUGACUAAGAAGCCCCGGCUAAAUACGUGCCAGCAGCCGCGGUAAUACGUAUGGGGCAAGCGUUAUCCGGAUUUACUGGGUGUAAAGGGAGCGCAGGCGGCCUGCCAAGUCUGGUGUGAAAACCCGGGGCCCAACCCCGGGCCUGCAUUGGAAACUGGCGGGCUGGAGUGUCGGAGGG
This 305-nucleotide ribosomal RNA is filed under the name uncultured bacterium. RNAcentral's name for it is "bacterial SSU rRNA". It matches the Rfam family "Bacterial small subunit ribosomal RNA", at positions 333 to 656 of the family's 1533-position model. The record is from RNAcentral.